Molecule: ribosomal RNA, 27 nt
Filed under: Lactifluus vellereus
Lineage: Eukaryota; Fungi; Basidiomycota; Agaricomycetes; Russulales; Russulaceae
Description: Lactarius vellereus partial 18S ribosomal RNA
Source: RNAcentral
GCAGGUGAAGCUGCGGAAGGAUCAUUA